CCGGCGAGGGGAGUGAAAAAGAACCUGAAACCGUGUACGUACAAGCAGUGGGAGCACCCUUUUGGGUGUGACUGCGUACCUUUUGUAUAAUGGGUCAGCGACUUAUAUUCUGUAGCAAGGUUAACCGUAUAGGGGAGCCGUAGGGAAACCGAGUCUUAAUUGGGCGUUAAGUUGCAGGGUAUAGACCCGAAACCCGGUGAUCUAGCCAUGGGCAGGUUGAAGGUUGGGUAACACUAACUGGAGGACCGAACCGACUAAUGUUGAAAAA
Molecule: ribosomal RNA, 268 nt
Filed under: Salmonella enterica subsp. enterica serovar Cerro
Lineage: Bacteria; Pseudomonadati; Pseudomonadota; Gammaproteobacteria; Enterobacterales; Enterobacteriaceae
Description: partial 23S ribosomal RNA
Rfam family: Bacterial large subunit ribosomal RNA
Source: RNAcentral